Molecule: long non-coding RNA, 1326 nt
Filed under: Scophthalmus maximus (turbot)
Lineage: Eukaryota; Metazoa; Chordata; Actinopteri; Pleuronectiformes; Scophthalmidae
Description: lncRNA (ENSSMAG00000030968.1)
Source: RNAcentral
AUGGUACCUGAAGCAACUGUUCAGACUGACACAUCAACAUGGAAGACAACAGGGAUCAGUGUCCCAUCUCAACCAACACAUACCACAGACACAGUAUCAUUGGAGCAAUCUAAGACAACCUUUACAUCACAAGAAAGCAAACAAACUCAUUCAGUAACGCCUAUACCUGAUGUGACCACACCAGCCCCUGAAACAAGUAAUCUCCCUGACACAGUAACCCCAGAGCCUGCUGAGACAACCAUGGUACCUACAGCAUCAGUGUCUGAACCAACAGCUCAAACUGACACAUCACCAUCACUGUCUACAGUGACUACGUCAACUCAACCAACUCUUGUGACUGACAGAGUAUCUUUUGAGCCUACAAAGACAACCUUGUUAGCUCAAGAGACCAUGUCAACUGAUUCAGUAGGAUCUGGUCCUACUGAAACCACUUUGCUUCCAGACACGACAGCUUCUACAACAAUAUCUAGGCCCACUGUUACCACCACCGUUGCUGAAUCAAGUAUUUCAACCACUUCUGUGGUAUCUGUGCCUGCCGACACCACAUCCACACCUGAACCUACCACUACCACAGUGACACUUAUCACUGAGCCUGAUAAAACCACCAUGGUACCUGAAGCAACUGUUCAGACUGACACAUCAACAUGGAAGACAACAGGGAUCAGUGUCCCAUCUCAACCAACACAUACCACAGACACAGUAUCAUUGGAGCAAUCUAAAACAACCUUUACAUCACAAGAAAGCAAACAAACUCAUUCAGUAACGCCUAUACCUGCUGUGACCACACCAGCCCCUGAAACAAGUAAUCUCCCUGACACAGUAACCCCAGAGCCUGCUGAGACAACCAUGGUACCUACAGCAUCAAUGUCUGAACCAACAGCUCAAACUGACACAUCACCAUCACUGUCUACAGUGACUACGUCAACUCAACCAACUCUUGUGACUGACAGAGUAUCUUUUGAGCCUACAAAGACAACCUUGUUAGCUCAAGAGACCAUGUCAACUGAUUCAGUAGCAUCUGGUCCUACUGAAACCACUUUGCUUCCAGACACGACAGCUUCUACAACAAUAUCUAGGCCCACUGUCACCACCACCGUUGCUGAAUCAAGUAUUUCAACCACUUCUGUGGUAUCUGUGCCUGCCGACACCACAUCCACACCUGAACCUACCACUACCACUGUGACACUUAUCACUGAGCCUGAUAAAACCACCAUGGUACCUGAAGCAACUGUUCAGACUGACACAUCAACACGGAAGACAACAGGGAUCAGUUUGCCAUCUCAACCAACACAUACCACAGACACAGUAUCAUUCGGAGCAAUCUAA